GCUGUGAUGGCCGAGAGGUUAAGGCGCUUGGACUUGAAAUCCAAAUGGGGUCUCCCCGCCAAGAGGUUCAAACCCUGCUCACAGUG
Non-coding RNA from Alosa alosa (allis shad), 86 nucleotides. Lineage: Eukaryota; Metazoa; Chordata; Actinopteri; Clupeiformes; Clupeidae. The record is from the annotation of a RefSeq genome assembly.